Exaiptasia diaphana is the source of this 589-nucleotide long non-coding RNA. RefSeq lists it as uncharacterized. NCBI's taxonomy places the organism in Eukaryota, Metazoa, Cnidaria, Anthozoa, Actiniaria, Aiptasiidae. The record is from RefSeq and is a predicted model, not a curated record. The transcript has 3 exons.
AACAAAACUGUCAAUAUGUCAAAGCUCAGUUUGCGCGAGAAAAAUUGAUAAUCGCGGAACUAAGCGUUUACAAUAAAGAUACUGCUGCUCCAGUCUAUAAAAUCCAGUUCCAAUUUAAAUAAGUCUGUCUUACCGCAUUUGUUGGAGAUCGAGUUUCAACUCCCAACCGAAAUGUUAUUGUGGAAAUAGUAAAGAAGGCGCUCAAAUCUACUCUGGUCUGCGUCUCUCAAGCGUUCUGGUACACAUAUACCAAGUGCUUUGUAACGGACUCUUGUACUUCAAUGUCCUGAUGCUAGUAUACAGGAGAAAUAGGUCAUGACUUACUUUUUAGCUUGCUCGCUUGUUCUACUCAUCUUCUGCUUUGCAACAUCUACAUUGUCUAUUCGCAAAGAAAAACUAAGAUUUAAGGUUUGCAAAUCACUAUUUAUUCACAGUAUGAACCUUACCUUUCAUUCGUAUCAUUCGUUCACCAGCUGUUAUGCAUUUAACGUGAGCUAUUUGUGAAGAUGAAAUGACAAACUUAAGCUUACAACACUUGAAUAAAGUCAAAUAUGAACGUCAAAACACAAAGUGUUUUGCUCGAUAAGAG